CAGUAGCCGCGGUAAUACGUAGGUGGCAAGCGUUGUCCGGAAUUAUUGGGCGUAAAGGGCUCGCAGGCGGUUUCUUAAGUCUGAUGUGAAAGCCCCCGGCUCAACCGGGGAGGGUCAUUGGAAACUGGGAAACUUGAGUGCAGAAGAGGAGAGUGGAAUUCCACGUGUAGCGGUGAAAUGCGUAGAGAUGUGGAGGGACACCAGUGGCGAAGGCGACUCUCUGGUCUGUAACUGACGCUGAGGAGCGAAAGCGUGGGGAGCGAACAGGAUUAGAUACCCCUGUAGUCCCUGUCUCUUAUAC
This 301-nucleotide ribosomal RNA is filed under the name uncultured bacterium. RNAcentral describes it as "partial 16S ribosomal RNA". It matches the Rfam family "Bacterial small subunit ribosomal RNA", at positions 509 to 807 of the family's 1533-position model. The record is from RNAcentral.